Molecule: non-coding RNA, 9650 nt
Organism: Cinara cedri
Lineage: Eukaryota; Metazoa; Arthropoda; Insecta; Hemiptera; Aphididae
Source: the annotation of a GenBank genome assembly
CACACUGACUAGUCUAGUCUUAUCAACAUCGUGGUCAGUUAUAUUUGAGUGUUUAAAUUUCAUUUUAUUUCUAAAAAAAGUACAUAUUUAUAAAAGUAUUAAAUAAAUCGGGUAUCGUGUUAAGUUGUGAAUUUGGAAUUUAAAAUAUUUACAACAGUGCAAUGUCGGAUUCGUUAGACAUCAACGAGAUUAAGUGUAAUCUAAAAGCCAUAAUCACGUCCUGUAAAAGAGACGUGCUGUUGAACGACAUAGAAAGUAAGUAGUUAACUAUUAAAUUUCUAUUCAAAGUUCUUUAAAGUGUAAAAAUUGAUUGAUUAUUUAUUGUAAGAUUUUGUUACAUUGGUUUCCAAGGUAUAUAAUAAACACUUUAGUUAGAUAAGUCUGUAUGUAUCUGUCCAAAAAUAUUAGUCGACUUACAGGGGCGCAAAUUCAAUUUUAAUAUUGAGGGUGCUAAAGCCCUUUGGAGAAAAAAAUACCUAGUUCAUACAAUUUUUGAUUUUCCAUGCGGUUUUCAUAAUAAUUUUGAACAAACGGAUACAUUUACGUACAUCUAUAAUAUACAGGUUUAAUUUACUCCGAUUUUCUUCUCGAAUAUUUUUAGGAGUUUGUCGCCUUUCGUUAUUGUCUAAGGCUCGCAGGCAUACACAUAACAAUAGGGCGUAUAUAGACUAUUUAAAGCAAUGUUUUUUAGUAUCUCUCGAUAAUAACCUUGAUGUGAGCAGAGUUUUAUAUAUGUAUCUUUGACAUAAGUUUAUGAAUAAUAAGAAUAAUAUUACACCAAACACACCUACGAAACGACAUCUAAAAUAACCGUCCACGGAGAUCGUAUCCAAAGACAUAUCGUAAUUCUUAAACAUUCAUUUAUUUAUCGAACCAUACGCGGGGGCAUGACUAGGCAGUUUUCUGGAGGGGAUGUUUUUUUUGUCUUAUAUAUUCGCCUAUGACACAUAAAGCUAUCCAUGUAGUUAUAAGUUUUUCUAAUGUUCUAUUGUGUAAAAUUUUGAUUAAUUUAUAUGAUAAAUUAAAAUUUAUAUUAAGAUGGUUUACUAAGAUUGACAAUAGUUCAAACAAGGAAUAAUAAUUUUUUAUAAUAGUAACUUAUUACUUAUUAGUUUAGAUUUCCAUGUUGAUUGUUAGUGCUGUUCUUCAAUACUCAAGUCUAUUGUUAACUUAUUCCAAACAUUCUCAUAUCAAAGAUAUGUCUGCAAACCAUCAUGCACCAUGUAACUCCUUUAACCUCUUAUCCCAGCACACAUCUGAGAUAGGAGAGUCUGCCAAAAUCUUAUUUAUAACGCCUCAGAUUGACAGAAUUUUACAAGAUUUAAAUAUUUUGGCAGCAGUUAAUUAGUUAAAAAGAGCAGAGAUAUUAAAGGCCUAAUGGGUAAUAAUGAAGUAUUUAUAGAUAUUUCAGAAGAAGUAAACAUAUUUUCCAAAGAACAUUUUGGCAAGUGAAAAGACGAAUACACAUUAUUUAAAUCAGUUUUAAAAAAUAUAGAUAAGGAAAAUUCAAAAAAAUUAUGAGAUAAAUUACAAAUACUCUCCUCCGUGUGAAGCGUACUCAUUGUGAAUCUUUAAGAAUAAGUUUGUAAGCAUGAGGGAAAAAAGAUGACCAAUGCAUAAAUGGUUGAAUUGAAUAAUAGAGUUAUAUACAAUAAUUAAAAUAAGUCUAAAAUUAUCUACAUCUAGCCUACAACAAAUAUAUGCUUUUGGAAAUGGUGGAGUUAUUGAAUCCAAAUUGCAUGUUUAAAAUUGUUGAAAUAUAUACUUGGUAGGUUGAAGUUCACAACAUAAAGUAAGAAAGCAACGUCAAUUUAAUACCAUUAAGAGAAAAUCAAUUUGCAUGUUGUAGAGGUUGAGUAGGAAAUUACAAAAUUGGUGUUUCAAUUAAUUUUAUAAUAUUGACACUGAAUCGAAGUCGAAAGAUCAAAAGGAAGUGAGUGCUGCGUGAAGUUUACAUAUUAGUUAUUUUUUUUUAAUAAUGUCAUUGAUUUUUUUAUCGUUUAUUCAACAUUUGAAUUAAAUUAUUUUUAAUUAUUAUUAUUAAUUGUAUGAACAACUCAAAAAUAAUUUAAAUUAUUAAUAAAUAAUAAAAAAAAAAUUACUACCAUCAGAAAAUCGGAUUUUCCGGAGAAUGGGUGAAGUUGCAAAUUUCAAAAUUAACGUUGCAAAUUAUUGCAAAUCAGUUGCAAAAUAUUGGCACUGGUUUGAAGUUGAUGACGGGGGUGCCAACUUCACGGACGUGAAUAUUAAUUAUUAAUUAAAUUAAUAAAAAUUAUAAUUCCAAGUUGCAUUUAUUGUGGAAGAACCACAUUAAUAAAUAACACGAAUUAUGAUAAAAAAAAAUAUAUCUUAAUUCGUGAUAAAUGGAUUGCGCUUUCCUCACCUCGUUUAUGGUGUUCGUGAGGUAACGCGUAAUAGUAAAUCUAAAGAAAAAAUAUUAUGUUUCAUAGGUAAGUAUAAAUGUAACUUUUUUUUGUUAAAUUAUCAUAAAUUUACUAAAAUAUAUUCAACAAAUACUUUGUACCUUGAUAUGUUAAUGUUAUUUUCUAAAAGACAAAAUUAAACAAUAGUUUUGUUCCUUAUUAUCUGGUCACAUUGGAAGUAGACUUUUUUCGCUUCCAUUGAAAAUCGAACGGCAUAUAUAUAUUACUUAGUUCAUAUUAAUUCAGUUGAAUUAAGAAAUUCGUAGGUACAAACCUGAAUAAAUUUCCCCUUGAAAAUAAAACUGGUGUGAAUUUGAGAAAUUUUUCGUUGUAACCGGUGUCAAAAUUAACGGUUCAAUUAUUCUGCUCCAUCGUAUGCAUAUAGUGCAAACUAUUUAUACCGGUUUCAUCCCCUUUCAUUUCCCCCUCGAAAUAAUAAACGAACAGAUUAAUGAUCUGUACCAGAUAAAUAAUAAUAAUAACAAUUUAUACCUAUUUAAAUUUAUUUUUAUUUAGCACUUAUCAUCAGGAAAUGGGAAGUAUAGUAUAGGUAAUAUACUAAUAAUUUAAAUUGAUUAAUAUUUAAUUGAGAGUAUAAUCAUUAUUAAUUUUGGAUUAAUUUCCAUCGUCGAAUAUCUAUAAUGGUGUACAAUAAUCAGUAUUAAGUGUUUGUAAACCGGUACAAAAUGUAUCGUUACACCGGUUUGCACUAAUGAAUUUCUAGAUAGUGUUAUCUAAAAAGUAAAAUAAUUACAUACACAAUAUAUAUUUUCUUAAUACUGUACCUAUUUUCCUGGUUUUUCCAAUUUAUUGGAAAACUCCUGAGAUUAUUAAAAAUUUACCUCCUAUUUCACUUGUCCUUAAGUAUUUUUAUUACAAACACUUUAUCAAUCAAAUAUAAAUAAGAUAAUCACAUUCAUUAAUUACAGAUUAAAACUACAACUAAUUUAAAUUGGACUCUACCACUGUGUCCCAUGCACAGUUAUAUAUAAACACUUUAUAAUAAAAUAUAUCCCAUCAUUAAUCAAUGUGACCUACAUGCAUAUUUUUUCCCCUAUAAAUUAUAUAAUUUUAUUAUAAUUAUAUUCAGUGGUUUUCCCAUCCAAGUGUUUUGAAAGUAUACUUACGUGCAUUACAUGGGAUAUUUUAUACUUUUAUUAAAGUUUAUAGUGUUUAUAGGGAAAAAGAUAUCAAUUAUACAAAAGUUAAAUUAAAAUUAAUAUAACAAAACACAAACUUUUUUUUAAAUGUAUUAAAAAUCAUAAGAAAAUUAUGAACUUUUAGUUUUAAUUAUUGAAAUAAAUACAAAUUAAUUAUUACUUUGGUUUUAAUGGAACACCACUGGUUAUAUUAAAUAAUAUAAAGUUGAUACUAAAAUGUUAUUUCUGUAAAUACUUUAUUUAAAACAAUUAUUUACCAUUUUAGAUGAUUAUGUUAAGAUAAUUGGUGAACCUCUACCAUAUCCGAAAUUGGGGUUCAAUUCUUUAAGAGAAUUUAUUGAAUCUUUGCAAUCAUUUAAAGUUGAAAACCAGGGACAUGACUUGAUAGUUUCUGUCUUAAGUAAUGAAAAGACUAUACAUCUGGAAGAAAUGAUAAAGAAACAAAAAAAUGCAAAAAAGGUUUGUAUAAAAUUACUAUUAUUAGGUACAGUUUAAAAAUAUAUACAUCUUUUAUAUAUUCAGCAAAGCAAGGAAUGUAUUGAUUUUACUGAAUUGUGUAGCUUAGUAAUUGGUGAGGCAAAUAUUUUUAAAAUUACAAGAGAAUAAGUGCUAAUAUACCUACAUGAAGUCAUGUAGAAACAAAUAUAUUAGUAAAAAAAAAAAGGUGAUACUGGGGAUGGGAGCAGCUACUGUUAUUAAUGAAAAGUUGGGAAGGUAGGAUACAUAGGUUAUUUCAUUUAUAUCUGUAAGUAAUGAUAAACCAUUGCUUGACGAAUGAGGAUUCCGAGAGCAGUUUGAAGUGCCUUAUUUAUUUAAUUUUUUUUUGCGAUUUUCGUUUAAAUUUGAUUUCAAAAAGCUUAUUAAAAAAAACAAAUCGUCUGAUCAUUUUUGAAAUUUUACCACGUCUAAAUAAGACCAAUAUAAGUAUUAUUACCAAGUUUCAAAUUUCUACAUAUAUUUAUAACCGAAUUACAGUAAAAAAUUUAAAAUUCUUUAAAAGCUCAAAAAUAGCCCUAAGUUUUGAUGGUGAUACCAUAAGAAAGUAAAUUAAAAAAGGUAUCUUGUGAUUUUUGAUAGAAUCAUUUUUUCUGGUUGAAAACCUCGUCUGUGUUUUUAUAAAAUAAUAAAAUCGUGAAAUUGUAUAUCUAUCAACGUUUUUCCCCAAUAUUACGUUGUAGUAGUCAUUCCCUAUAUCAUAUCUUUGAAUUUUAUUAUCAGCCGGACCAUCACUUUUAUUCCCCACAGAUUAUCUUAUAUAUUACAGAUAUAAAUAAUCAACUAGAUUGCUUACGGCUGUAUGAUUACUACUGUAUUACAUAUUAAACCACGGUUUAAGAUUACGUGACUAGUUCUACCUAUAUGCUUUUCAUUUUUCCUUGCUACUUACCUGACGUGGUUUUACACAACAAAUCGAGGAUUAUUUUCGAUUAAAAUUGUCCGUGUGAGCGCAGCAAAAUAUGGCGCUAUUUUAACUAGGAAAUAUGCGAAAAGGAAAACACGUACUUUAUGAAAUUUUCCGCCAUAAAAUCCAAACAAAGUACGUCAGGCUUUUUUUUAUAUUCUUAAUGUAUACGCAAAGGAAAAAUAAACCCCUAAAAAUCGCAUGAUAGCUACACUAGAAUCUUCCCUUCAAAUGUACCUAUAAUCUACACACAAAAUAUUACACUUCUUUUGUUUUUGUAUAGAGUUAUUUUUUCAGUACCCCAAGACUAAAAUAUGUAUUACUGGCAUGGACAGAGAGCUUCCUGUAUUUCAUUCAAACAUUUUGUUUAAUAUGUCAAUAAUCAAUAUAAUUUUCACUAUAUAAAAUGUAUAAUAUCAAACAAAAUUACUAUGUUCACAUUUAAGUGUAAUGACAGCGUUGUUAGCUAUUCAACAAAGUUAUUGACCUCAGUUGUAGAUUUUAAAUGUACCUACUUAUUUAUAACAAAAUUUAAGUACUGUAAACAUUAAUGAUGCUCUUUUGGCAAUUAUUAUUACAACAAUUAAUUUUUAACAUUGAAAAUAAGUUAGAUAAUCUAAUUUCGAAUUCACCAAAAACUAAAAAUAGUUAAAAUAUAUAUUUUAAAUAUUAAUUUUGAGCUAUUUUUCAAACGUGUUGUAAAUCAAUGACUUCUAAUGCUUUGUUAUUGUUGAUUCAUUAGGCUUUCAUCAUACAACUUUUAUUGUGAAUACAUUAUAUAUUAGAAUAAGUGUUCUGAAUUUUGUUCAACACCACAUUCAAAUUGUAUAAUUUAUAUUAUUUCAUCAUUUUCUUAAAAUUGUCCAUGAUAUAUCCAUUUUUGUACUGACUACUAAUUAUUUUCAACCUAUCGUUAUUUAUUUGUUUAGGUUAAUGCAUAUAAAUCAAAAAUAAUUUGGUCAAGCUAUGUAAACAAAUCAGAAAGUAAUCAAUUAAAAUUUUAAUUUUUUAAUCACACAUUGUUAAUGUUGAAUUAUUUAUUUUAGCUUUAAAUGGUUAUAAGAAAAAAGAUCAUACAUUGAAAACCCUCGGUCAAGAAUUAGGAGUAUUAUUUAGUGUAAGGAUAUUACUUAACUAAAUUCCAAUAGAAAAUAAUAAAAUGUUGACAAAUAAAUUGAAAUAUUUUUAAUAUUCUACUGUAUGUAUUAGGAAAUAUGAUUUACACAUUUCAAUUGUAAAAAUAUCUCUAAAAGUAAUCAAUAUUUCACUCUAAAAAAAAAGAAAAUGUAUUUACCUAACUAUUAAGAGUAAAUUACAAGAUUUUUUGCCAGUAAAAAUAAUGAUUAAAUAAAAGAUAUCCUAAAAUAAUGCAUAAUGUAAUUAAAAAAAAUUAUUAAUUAUAGUUUAAUGUAUAUUUAUAAUAAAAUUGAUGUUUUCAGGAAAAUAAAAGUAAAUCUUCAGCAAAUGUUUCAAGAAAUAAUAGUUGUCCAAAUACAUUGACAAGUAAUUAAUUCAAAUUUUAGUAAUAUUUUAUGUACAUGAUUGUAGUGUUUCGUGAUUUAACAAGCCAAACAAUUAAGAACUAUAUUUAAUUUCUAUAUUGUAAAAAUAUAUAGAGAAUUGUGUAAAGAACCACGAAAUUUAAAACAAAAUUUGUAUAAAAUUAAUGUAAUAAAGAAAACUUAGUGUUAGUUUCUUUCUAAAAGGUCACUACUAAUUGAUAGCUGCUUAAAAACCAAGGUUCAGUAAUCCCUAAAUAAUAAUAUGUAUUAUUGAAACUAAAGCUGUACAAUAAAAUAAAUUUUAUAAUAAUAUCAUUACUAGAUGAAUGCAUCUAGUAUGUAAUGGGCUGUGUAAAAGUGAUUCUUAAAAAUUAUAUACCAGUAUAUCUAUACAAUAGGUAUACUCGUAUACCUAUCAAAUAUUAUUUGUAUGUGUGUUCAAUUUGCUUCCUGGAAUAUUAAUUAUGAUAAAUCUUAUGAUUAUAAUUAUAGCCACCUUUUAACUAAACCUUUUUUCAAAAUCCACAUUGAUUUUGAAUAAUUUAGAUUAAUAUUAAAUUAAUUUAAUUUUAAACAAUUUUUCAGAUAUUAAUAUAACAAAUUUCAAAGAAUCAAAAAUGUUAGAGUCUAAUUCGGGAAAUAAAAUCAAAUGUAAAAACUGUUUAAUAUGUAAAAAAGUUACAANGGACUCAGAAAUUCAAAAUCAGUAUAAAUAUAUCAAAAAUUUUGAAUGUCUUAUUUGUUCUUUUAAAACAAAUGAUUUUAAUGAAUGGAAAUGUCAUAUUACAUCAAUAUCUCAUUUGGCAGAAUAUCACAUGAUUCAAGAUACGUACUCUCAUGUCUGUGAUUAUAAAAAAUGUAAAGUAUUGUUGUUCGGAUCCGAAAAGUCUUUAUGUGAACAUAAAGCUAAUCAUUCAAAAAAGUUUUUAAACACUAGUUUAUCAAUUAUUAUGGCUAAGGUUAUGAACCGUUAUAUUUCAAAAAAAAAACCUAUGUACUAUUGUACUCAUUGUAGACGUUUUGAAGAAAAACCAAUUCACACAACAGCUGAAUUAUUAAAUAUUAAGAAAAAAAACAACACCAUUGAAUAUUAUUGCAAAUAUUGUAGAGUAACAUUUGUUUGUAGCCCUGAAAUAUUAGAUUAUCAUUCAUUAAGUGUAGAACAUAUGACAAUAAAAUGUCUUGAUCAGUUAUUCUCUGAAGCUAAGGUGAAUUCAAAAUAAUUAACUAUCUGUAAAAUCUCUUCCAACUAUAGAAAAUAAAGUAAAAGUUGUGGUAGAAUGUUUUCCCUUGUUUAUUGAUAAAAGAGAAAAAUUUUUCAAAUUGUAUAUUAGUUUGAUAGAGGAUAUGUAUUAUGUUCAAAUAUGAGUGUAAGAAGUGUGUUUAGAGUUAGAGUAGGUAUCAGGCGUCGGCCUUGAUCUCUUGCCUAUACUUUUUUUUGCAAUGGAUGAAGUUACAAAAUAAUACAAGACAAGGUACCAUGGUUGCAGAUGAUAUAGUUUUGAUACAAGAAAACCUAUAAGACGUUAACAAGCUUGAUGAAUGGAGAAUAGUAUAUGAAGGAAAAGAACUAAUGAUAAGUAAAAGUAAAACCGAAUAUAUUAUAGAGUAUGAGUUUGGAGGAACAGGACAAGAUACCUAAUGGUGACAUAAUAGGAGAGGUUGAAAACUUUAAGUACCUAGGAUCUUUUGUUCAAAAAAACAAUGAGAAUUUGAAGUAUAGGAUUAGGUGUGAUUAGAUAAAAUGAAGAGAUUUUUGUACAGUUUACCUUUUAUCCAUCAAUAUUAGCUUGCACUUGAGUAGAAAAAAUAGGACAAAAGCUAUGCAUUCGGUGUGAUGUACAUAAAAAAAAAUUUUAAUUUAAAUGAGAGUUUAAAAGUAAUUUUAAUUAUUAAAAUAAUUUACAGGAACUACCUGUAAAUAUUGUUGGCCAGGAAGAAUCAAACAAAAAUCUGCAAAAUGGUAAUGCUGUAUACAGUAAACAAAAGUACACAGAGUAUUUUAAUCAUAAAUUGAAGUUACUGAAAUUAUUAAAAAUAAAUAAAGAUCCUAUUCUUAGAACAACCUCGUACUAUUGUAAUAUAUGCGAUUUUAUUACUGAAGAAAAAUAUACUUGGGACUUUCAUAAUGAAACAGUACAUGCAGAUAAUAUAAAUAUUUCUAUGGUUUUCUGUACUACAUGUUCUAUGUUUAUUUCGUUCAACAAUUUUGAAGAACACAAUAAUACAAUAGAACACAGUAAUCUCUUAAAAUUUUUACAGUCAUUCAACAGUUUAAGAAAAAAACCAAUUUUGCCUUUGAACAAUACCAAUAGUCAAAAUGAACAGAAAAAAAGAAAUAAAACUACAAAUGUAUUUAUUUAAUUAAUUGAAGUUAGUGUCAUGAUUUUGCUCACCUAAGUAUAUUUUUCUAAUAUUUCAGGUUUUAAUUAACAAUAGUGGUAUUUUCACAUCACCACCUAAUAAUUCACUUACUACAAUUUCAACUAUGUUGUCAGGUGAACCAAAUGUAGAUUUAAAAAUAGGAGAAUUGAAUACAAUGAUACAUGGCGAAACAUCAAAUUGUUGUGCCAAGUUAAAUGAUUCGGUAAUGUACAAUACAUAAGUUUUGAAUACAUUUAUACAGUUAUAUUAAAAUAAUAUAUAUAAUGUGCAUUAAUCAAUUAUAUUUAGGUACAAGUGUAUUCAUUUUAAAUGAGUAUUAACUACGAUAGAGUAGUUUCUAUUUGCAAUUUUUUUUUUUAAGUUUCUGAUGUUUCUAAAAUGUAAUAUAAUUAAUUUUUCUAGUUUUUCUUAAACCCAAAUGAACCUACAGCAGAAGAAAGUGAUAGAAAAUCUAUUUUCGUAUCAAGUCUAUGUCAGAAAAAUGUAGCAGACCUUAAGAGAGUGGAGGUACUUAAUGAAGACAAAAUGUAUGGGGAAUAUGUAACACAAAGACUUAAAUAUAUAGAAAAUCCGACAGUUAAACAACAUAUUAAAUUAGAGAUAGAUAACAUUUUUUUUUCUAGUAUGAAAAAUGAUUUAUUGAAAAGUUCUAAUUGCUAAGUUUAUUCAUCUUGACAGUAUACAAUAAUAUUGUCAUUUUUUUUUUAUUUUUAUCUUCAUUUCUGUUUUAAAUAGUUAACAUAAAAAUAAUGUUUUAAUGGAUGUAAAGUAAAUAUNC